This 374-nucleotide long non-coding RNA is filed under the name Marmota monax (woodchuck). Lineage: Eukaryota; Metazoa; Chordata; Mammalia; Rodentia; Sciuridae. The record is from RNAcentral.
GGGUGAGGUUCUCCUGUGUGAAGGAGCCUGGAGGUACAUCUGUGGCAUCCUAAAGUUUCUUGCAAGAGCCUGAAAACAGCUGGACUGGACCAUCUCCAAGGGCCAUCCAGUGCUAGUGUCCUGGGACUAUGUGGGAAAAUCACACAGCUUGCAUCAGAGUCUCACUGAGUCCCAUGGUCCUCCUGUGCAGACUGAUGACAUGCACCUCUUCUAUCUAAUAUCCUUGAAGUAUCUGUCCAACAUUUAAUUUGUUGGGAAUAGGGAGAAACAUUUUCUGGUAAUAGAAUCUGUACACCUUUUUCUUUCUGUUCUUUAGACUAUAAAAUGCACUGAACAUAGCAUCUGAAAUUACUUGGGAUUGUAGUUUUGCUGCA